This is a non-coding RNA of Elaeis guineensis (African oil palm), 671 nucleotides long. NCBI's taxonomy places the organism in Eukaryota, Viridiplantae, Streptophyta, Magnoliopsida, Arecales, Arecaceae. The record is from RefSeq and is a predicted model, not a curated record.
CCUUCAAACAAGGUCCACAAGGAACAGCUCUCUGGCGAGAAGUGCAAAUGGGUGGGACGAUCGACUCAGAGCCGGCUCCCUCCCUCCCUGCUCCUCCUCCUCCCUCCCUCCUCCUCCGCCUCGGAGGAGAGGAGGAGGAAAGCAGGAGGGCCGAAGGCGACGUCGCGAUUCGAAAUGCAAGAAGAUCAUAGUAGUCACACUUUUCUUUUGGGGCAUCAGUGAUCAGUAUCAAUGGCUGCUGGAGAGGAGAACACUUCACUUUUCCUAAUUUUCAUCUUAGCCAUGAUUGCACUUCCUUUAGUGCCUUAGACAACACUGAAGUUAUGUUGUGCUGCAACUAAGAAAACAAAGAAAACUCAUUGCCAAUACUCUGUAUGUUCAUGUUCAGGGAAGUACCGGAAAUCCAUAUAUAAGCAAAUCUCAAACUUUUCAACAUGUAGUAAUCUGACCAUUUGGGUGCUCUGGGUUGUCAUGGUGUUUUUGAUUUGCUCCGUCAAACUUAUAAGCCAAGAGCUUAGCUCAAGCUCAGACCAAGCUUAGCAAAUUUCUAUUCAGGCUCAGGUCUUGUGCCACUUGGAUGAACCAAGAUAUCAAGCCUGUGAUUAUUUCUAUGAACCAGCAACUAUUGAAGUUUCAUUGGUCUUUGGCAGAGCUUGAAAACAAAGAGUACA